AUUGCGUAAACUUACGAGGACAUUGUAUAGAAUAGGUAACACAGCUCAAGUUUACAUAAAUGUACGAGGACAACAUGCGUUACAAAUGUAACACAGUCUUUGUUUGUAUAAACUUAUGAGGACAUAUCAACACAGAUAAAGUUUCUGUAAACUUAUGAGGACAUCACACAAAUCAAGUUUGCAGCAACACACGAGGACUUAUUGCACAGGUAUUUCACACAUACCAAGUUUGCGCAAUCUUAUGAGGACAUUGUAUUGAAUAGGUAACACAGCUCAAGUUUGCAUAAAUGUACGAGGACAACAUGUGUUGCAAAUGAAACACAGUCUUUGUUUGUAUAAACUUAUGAGGACAUAUAAACUUUAUCUGUUUAUUUUGCACAGGUAUUUAUCUCUUUUAGCGAUCAUGAGGAGUUUAUCUCAACAAGGUUCCACUUUACAUCAUUCAGAUACAAGCAAAUUUAAACACUUCAAGUACACAUGUAGAUCAUUUUCAAAGAUUUGUUUUUAAUAAAACUCAACACUGACAACCGGAACUUGACAUACAUGCAGUUAGUCAUUCAUAAUGCAUAAAUAACUUUUCUCUUACAUGUACAAAAUCUCAGAAAUCACCUCUUCAUUUUUCUUAAAUGAUAAUCUACACAAAGUCUGAUCAUUGUGAUCAUUUAUCGAUCAUUAAACACAGAAUUUUCAAAAUGAAUAUAAUCACUAAGAUUGUAAAAAAUCCUUAAAUUAGCAGCAUGUUUCUGCAUUUGUUAAUGUGAUAUUGAAAGAUUUGGUUGUGGUCGAUUGUGCAGACAUUCAGUAAUAAAAAGAAACGUCAAUUUUAAGCAUUUUCUGGAGGUAACCCCCC
Long non-coding RNA from Strongylocentrotus purpuratus (purple sea urchin), 850 nucleotides. RefSeq lists it as uncharacterized. Lineage: Eukaryota; Metazoa; Echinodermata; Echinoidea; Camarodonta; Strongylocentrotidae. The transcript has 2 exons. The record is from RefSeq and is a predicted model, not a curated record.